GAUGAACGCUCGCGGCAGGCUUAAUACAUGCAAGUCGAGGGGCAGCAUGUCCCGUAGCAAUACGGGAUGAUGGCGACCGGCAAACGGGUGCGGAACACGUACAGAACCUUCCUUCGAGCGGGGGAUAGCCCAGAGAAAUUUGGAUUAAUACCCCAUAGUACAACAAUGUGGCCUCACUUUGUUGUUAAAGAUUUAUCACUCGAAGAUGGCUGUUCGGCUGAUUAGGUAGUUGGCGGGGUAACGGCCCACCAAGCCUGCGAUCAGUAACUGGUGUGUGAUCACGACCAGUCACACGGACAAUGAGACACGGGCCCGACACCUACGGGAGGCAGCAGUAAGGAAGAUUGGUCAAUGGACGAAAGACUGAACCAGCCAUGCCGCGUGGAGGAUGAAGGGCCUCUGGAUUGUAAACUUCUUUUAUAUGGGACGAAAAAAGGCCUUUCUAGGUCGUCUGACGGUACCAUAGAAAUAAGCACCGGCUAACUCCGU
RNAcentral lists this ribosomal RNA (489 nucleotides) under uncultured bacterium. RNAcentral's name for it is "partial 16S ribosomal RNA". It matches the Rfam family "Bacterial small subunit ribosomal RNA", at positions 28 to 506 of the family's 1533-position model. The record is from RNAcentral.